CAACGCCGCGUAGAGGAUGAAGUCCCUUGGGACGUAAACUCCUUUCGACCCGGACGAUAAUGACGGUACGGGUGGAAGAAGCCCGGCUAACUUCGUGC
This 98-nucleotide ribosomal RNA is filed under the name uncultured bacterium. RNAcentral's name for it is "partial 16S ribosomal RNA". It matches the Rfam family "Bacterial small subunit ribosomal RNA", at positions 392 to 508 of the family's 1533-position model. The record is from RNAcentral.